AACGCAUAUUGCGCUCGAGCCUUCGGGCAAGAGCAUGUCUGCCUCAGCGUCGGUUUACACCCUCACCCCUCCCAACUUUGUUUGGGCGUGUCGGCUUCUCUAGCUGGCCAUAGGGGUGGAUCUGGCUUCCCCAAUCUGCCAUCUGGCGGGUUGGGCUAGCUGAAGUGCAGAGGCUUAAGCAAGGACCCGUUAUGGGCUUCAACUGGAUAGGUAGCACCGGCUUCUGCCGACUACACGAAGUUGUGGCUUGUGGAUCUUGCUAGGGGCCAAGCAGGAACAUGCCUUUGGCAUGUCUAAACUUUCGACUGAGCUCAGGCAAGGCUACCCGCUGAACUUAA
This 338-nucleotide unclassified non-coding RNA is filed under the name uncultured Sphaeropleales. RNAcentral's name for it is "sequence contains 5.8S rRNA gene, ITS2, 28S rRNA gene". The record is from RNAcentral. Lineage: Eukaryota; Viridiplantae; Chlorophyta; Chlorophyceae; Sphaeropleales.